RNAcentral lists this transfer RNA (80 nucleotides) under Alloscardovia macacae. It matches the Rfam family "tRNA". Rfam says of the family: Transfer RNA (tRNA) molecules are approximately 80 nucleotides in length. Their secondary structure includes four short double-helical elements and three loops (D, anti-codon, and T loops). Further hydrogen bonds mediate the characteristic L-shaped molecular structure. tRNAs have two regions of fundamental functional importance: the anti-codon, which is responsible for specific mRNA codon recognition, and the 3' end, to which the tRNAs corresponding amino acid is attached (by aminoacyl-tRNA synthetases). tRNAs cope with the degeneracy of the genetic code in two manners: having more than one tRNA (with a specific anti-codon) for a particular amino acid; and 'wobble' base-pairing, i.e. permitting non-standard base-pairing at the 3rd anti-codon position. The record is from Rfam by way of RNAcentral. Lineage: Bacteria; Bacillati; Actinomycetota; Actinomycetes; Bifidobacteriales; Bifidobacteriaceae.
GCGUGAGUGGCGGAAUUGGUAGACGCGCAGGAUUUAGGUUCCUGUUCUUCGGAGUGAGGGUUCGAGUCCCUUCUCGCGCA